Long non-coding RNA from Centrocercus urophasianus (Greater sage-grouse), 532 nucleotides. RefSeq lists it as uncharacterized. The record is from RefSeq and is a predicted model, not a curated record. NCBI's taxonomy places the organism in Eukaryota, Metazoa, Chordata, Aves, Galliformes, Phasianidae. The transcript has 4 exons.
AGUUUUUCUGAUGAUGUAUCUUUAGUAGAUGUAUCAGUGUUAGUUACUUUUGGCUCAGUCUCUUUACAGGGUUCUAGAAUACUUCCAAUUCCUGUUGAGGUGCUACCCACUGAGGUGUUUCUCCUGUGACUGAGUUCAGACAGACUGGCUGAUCUAGAGUGACAUGUGCUGUAUUCUGCUGGGGAAACACAGUGGAGCUAGAUGAGAUUGGACAAGGAGAAGAGACAGGAGUUUUAAGUGGUGCAGCUGGACUGAAGAGUUCCUACAGUGAACAACCUGAGCUAAUCUGGUACAAGCUCUAUUCUCAGAUGCCCUCAGAAACAAUGGGGAAAAUCCAUAAUGCUGGAUCAGGGCUGCUGCAGCUCUCCAUGGGUCCUCAGGUCCAACCAGUAGUGAUGCUGAAGAUACGUUCCAGGUUGCAGUUGAAAAACUGUUAAAAAUAGCACAACUCAUUACUAAGUCUGAAGACUGCGCACAGAAUUCAUAUGUUGUGCAGGAAGAUGAGAGAGAGGGACAGCAGCCCAUGUGACAG